GCCCAGACCAGCAAGAGGCAGUGAAGGCCUUGUGAUGCCCUUGCUGAUCUUUUUGUCUAAGGUCAUCUGCAGAGAGCUACAGAAAACUGUUUGUAAAGUCUAGAUUUUGACCCUAUCCCCACUUCAAGCUACUUCACAUUUGGGCUGUAGAACCUUGAUUAAAGUCGUGCUGUCAUUUAUUUGACUGACAGCAGAGGCUCAGAGUUAAGGAGCUUGAGAUGAAAAGGGUUUGUAUUGAUUGACACUCGCCAACUAGUUGACUAAUAAUGGACUAAUGCUGUGUUCGACAUUGAGUGUGACUUUAUGUAAACAGAACUCUACUCAUAUGAUACCUACUACUUUGUGGUGAUGUACCAGCAGACUCUGGGCAGAUUCUGGGCCAUUGGAGUGGGGCUUCUCAGUCUCCUGAGUUGCAUGAAAGUGGGAUGUCCUCUUCUCCAGUGACCUGUUAGUACAGCUAUAACAAUACCACCACCACCACUACCAAUAACAAAAACAAAAAGACUAAGACAGGGACUUGUCUCUUCCCACUGCCCACAGGCAUCCUAUUUUAAUUUUCCCAUCACUUCUUUCUUCCACAUUUCUCUAUAAUUUAUAGCUUAUGUACAAAUUGUAGGACAUAUGUAGCUAAAUAUUGGAUAAUUGUAGUAGGAAAUAAAUGACAGCUUUUUAAUAUUUAAGUUAGAGAAAUUUUCAAAAAUAAGUAUUCUGAUAAAUCUUUCAGAUGUCCUCUUCUCAAAAAAACAAAACAAAAUAAACAAACAAACCACAAACC
Molecule: long non-coding RNA, 775 nt
Filed under: Mus musculus (house mouse)
Lineage: Eukaryota; Metazoa; Chordata; Mammalia; Rodentia; Muridae
Description: long non-coding RNA chr6:129056696-129057471
Source: RNAcentral